GUGGGUAUACUUCAUUGGUAGAAUGUUUGCCUAGUAUGCAUGAAGUCCUGGGUUUGACUCCCAGUACCUCA
Molecule: transfer RNA, 71 nt
Filed under: Cricetulus griseus (Chinese hamster)
Lineage: Eukaryota; Metazoa; Chordata; Mammalia; Rodentia; Cricetidae
Rfam family: tRNA
About the family: Transfer RNA (tRNA) molecules are approximately 80 nucleotides in length. Their secondary structure includes four short double-helical elements and three loops (D, anti-codon, and T loops). Further hydrogen bonds mediate the characteristic L-shaped molecular structure. tRNAs have two regions of fundamental functional importance: the anti-codon, which is responsible for specific mRNA codon recognition, and the 3' end, to which the tRNAs corresponding amino acid is attached (by aminoacyl-tRNA synthetases). tRNAs cope with the degeneracy of the genetic code in two manners: having more than one tRNA (with a specific anti-codon) for a particular amino acid; and 'wobble' base-pairing, i.e. permitting non-standard base-pairing at the 3rd anti-codon position.
Source: Rfam by way of RNAcentral